UGGGUUUACUGAUUACGGUUUCCUAGAUUGUACAGAUGAACUAGAACUGUCACAAUUUAUGGGGUCGUAGACAGUGUGCUUA
Molecule: microRNA precursor, 82 nt
Filed under: human gammaherpesvirus 4 (Epstein-Barr virus)
Lineage: Duplodnaviria; Heunggongvirae; Peploviricota; Herviviricetes; Herpesvirales; Orthoherpesviridae
Description: Human gammaherpesvirus 4 (Epstein-Barr virus) BART 8 miRNA
Source: RNAcentral